CUGUCGUGCCCAGCGGAAGGAUGAGUAAUACGUGCUACAUACUCUAUAUUGCUUUAUUUACAGUUCAAAGCUGGUAUAUUACAGAAAGACAUCUUGCCUCUCUGGAGCAGAAAAAUGCAUCCUCUCUCCUCGACAGCUUGGAGAGAAUCACACAGUGAAAAACAGGAAACCAGUGUACGUCACAUCCAGUCUCCCUUUCCCGUGAGAAACUCCAACAGUACAGACUGUGGAAUGUAAACACCUGUCUUGUGACUGCAGUUGCUGCUCAGUGAAGGAAAUAGAAACCAACAUCCUCCCCCUUUCUGUGAACAUCACUGGGCAGCGUGUUUGCACAAUAUCAGUACAAACCCAACUUCUGCACAUAGGUACAGUGUUGAUCCCUUGAUACAAUCUUGGACAAUACAUCAGCAGGAAUUUCAUUACCUGGCAUAUAGGACACCGUUACGAGUCCCUUCUGAAUACAUUCCCUAGCAUGCUGCAACUUUAAUUGCAAGUGCUUUGUGCUUUGCUUACAACCUUCAGACUUCAGCAAAGCCAAACAUGCUCUGUUGUCCUGGUAAACCUGGAUUGGACAUUUGACAGGAAUUUUCAUAUCUGUGCACAAUUGUACUAACCAUUCACAAUCCUUAAGUGAAUAAGACAGUGCAUUCAGUUCAGCUUCACAAGUACUUAAGCUAACUGUUGUUUGCUUCUUGCAUGACCAAUCAAACAGACUCUGAUUGUACAUGUAGCAAACUCCAGACGUACUUUUCCUGUCUGUAGUGUCACUUCCAAAACUUGCAUCUGCAAAUAUCUCAAGACCACCAGACUUCUGAUUGUUAAAUCUCAGUCUGUAAUGCAUAGUGCCUUUCAAAUACCGCGCUAUGCGUUUCAGAGCUUUCCAAUCCUUGACACUAGGAUUGUUGACUUGUCUGCUUAGCAAAUUACAGCUAACAGCAAUGUCUGGUCUUGAACAUCUGGCAAUGAAGUUUAGCUUGCCUAGCACACUCCUGUACAGUGUAGUGUCAGAAAAUGCUUCUUCAGUGUCAUCUACCUGAUAACCUGUUGUCAUCGGUGUGUCUACAGGGUUAGCAUCCAUCAGAUUUAGUUUGCUUAACACAUCAGCAAUUUUCCGUGACUGGUGUACUAGAAUGUUACCAUCUUGAUCUCUCUCUAUUUCCAGAGAUAGGUAGUUGUUUACCUCACCAAGAUCUUUCAUGUCAAAGUGCUCUUUCAGUUGAGCUAGGGCGCUAUUGUACAUUGCAACAUCUUUCC
Molecule: long non-coding RNA, 1254 nt
Filed under: Podarcis lilfordi (Lilford's wall lizard)
Lineage: Eukaryota; Metazoa; Chordata; Lepidosauria; Squamata; Lacertidae
Source: RNAcentral